This 389-nucleotide ribosomal RNA is filed under the name Atrina pectinata. Its description in RNAcentral is "partial 16S ribosomal RNA". It matches the Rfam family "Bacterial large subunit ribosomal RNA", at positions 1911 to 2528 of the family's 2925-position model. Lineage: Eukaryota; Metazoa; Mollusca; Bivalvia; Pterioida; Pinnidae. The record is from RNAcentral.
UGCCCUUUUGUGGUAAACAGCCGCUGUAUUUUGACGGUGCUAAGGUAGCGAAAUUCCUAGCCUUUUAAUUGGAGGCCUGCAUGAAUGGCUUGACGAGCGCCUGACUGUCUCUCUCCCGCAUGUAGUGAAAUUAACUUUUGUGUGCAAAGGCACAAAUAAUUGAGUAAGACGAAAAGACCCUGUGCAACUUUACUAAGAAAAGAGGGGUUACCUACUUGUAGUUUAGCUGGGGCAGCUUAGGAAAAGAUAAAACUUCCUUGAAUUUAAGAUACUGGUAGGUUUGGAUCCGACGUAAUUAUUGUGUAGGUCGAGUAGCAGAAAAGUUACGCCAGGGAUAACAGCGUUAUCCUUCUGUGGAGGUCUUAUCUGCAGGGGGGAUUGCGACCUCG